This 490-nucleotide ribosomal RNA is filed under the name uncultured bacterium. RNAcentral describes it as "partial 16S ribosomal RNA". It matches the Rfam family "Bacterial small subunit ribosomal RNA", at positions 30 to 507 of the family's 1533-position model. The record is from RNAcentral.
AUUGAACGCUGGCGGCAUGCUUUACACAUGCAAGUCGGACGGCAGCACAGAGAAGCUUGCUUCUUGGGUGGCGAGUGGCGAACGGGUGAGUAAUAUAUCGGAACGUACCGAGUAAUGGGGGAUAACUAAUCGAAAGAUUAGCUAAUACCGCAUAUUCUCUGAGGAGGAAAGCAGGGGACCUUCUGGCCUUGCGUUAUUCGAGCGGCCGAUAUCUGAUUAGCUAGUUGGUGGGGUAAAGGCCUACCAAGGCGACGAUCAGUACCGGGUCUGAGAGGAUGAUCCGCCACACUGGGACUGAGACACGGCCCAGACUCCUACGGGAGGCAGCAGUGGGGAAUUUUGGACAAUGGGCGCAAGCCUGAUCCAGCCAUGCCGCGUGUCUGAAGAAGGCCUUCGGGUUGUAAAGGACUUUUGUCAGGGAAGAAAAGGCUGUUGCUAAUACCGACAGCUGAUGACGGUACCUGAAGAAUAAGCACCGGCUAACUACGUG